Small nucleolar RNA from Vulpes vulpes (red fox), 71 nucleotides. Lineage: Eukaryota; Metazoa; Chordata; Mammalia; Carnivora; Canidae. The record is from Ensembl.
CUACAGUGAUGGCAGUAUUUUUCAUCAACAUCAAUUCACCUAAAAAGUGUUGAUACUUUAGGUCUGAGUUA